CCUACGGGAGGCAGCAGUGGGGAAUUUUGGACAAUGGGGGCAACCCUGAUCCAGCCAUUCCGCGUGAGUGAAGAAGGCCUUCGGGUUGUAAAGCUCUUUCGCAAGGGAAGAAAACUUAUGAUCGAAUAAAUCAUGAGGUUGACGGUACCUUGAUAAGAAGCACCGGCUAACUACGUGCCAGCAGCCGCGGUAAUACGUAGGGUGCGAGCGUUAAUCGGAAUUACUGGGCGUAAAGCGUGCGCAGGCGGUUUUGUAAGUCGGAUGUGAAAUCCCCGGGCUCAGCCUGGGAACUGCGUUCGAAACUGCAAGGCUAGAGUGUGUCAGAGGGGGGUAGAAUUCCACGUGUAGCAGUGAAAUGCGUAGAGAUGUGGAGGAAUACCAAUGGCGAAGGCAGCCCCCUGGGAUAACACUGACGCUCAUGCACGAAAGCGUGGGGAGCAAACAGGAUUAGAUACCCUGGUAGUCCACGCCCUAAACGAUGUCAACUAGUUGUUGGUAGAGUAAAAUCUAUGAGUAACGUAGCUAACGCGUGAAGUUGACCGCCUGGGGAGUACGGUCGCAAGAUUAAAACNCAAAAUGAAUUGACCGGNUGAGAGAGCGAGACGACGACGAGGGAGGAGG
This 621-nucleotide ribosomal RNA is filed under the name uncultured bacterium. RNAcentral describes it as "bacterial SSU rRNA". It matches the Rfam family "Bacterial small subunit ribosomal RNA", at positions 338 to 951 of the family's 1533-position model. The record is from RNAcentral.